RNAcentral lists this ribosomal RNA (468 nucleotides) under uncultured bacterium. Its description in RNAcentral is "partial 16S ribosomal RNA". It matches the Rfam family "Bacterial small subunit ribosomal RNA", at positions 28 to 507 of the family's 1533-position model. The record is from RNAcentral.
GACGAACGCUGGCGGCGUGCUUAACACAUGCAAGUCGAACGGAAAGGCCCUGCUUUUGUGGGGUGCUCGAGUGGCGAACGGGUGAGUAACACGUGAGUAACCUGCCCUUGACUUUGGGAUAACUUCAGGAAACUGGGGCUAAUACCGGAUAGGAGCUCCUGCUGCAUGGUGGGGGUUGGAAAGUUUCGGCGGUUGGGGAUGGACUCGCGGCUUAUCAGCUUGUUGGUGGGGUAGUGGCUUACCAAGGCUUUGACGGGUAGCCGGCCUGAGAGGGUGACCGGCCACAUUGGGACUGAGAUACGGCCCAGACUCCUACGGGAAGCAGCAGUGGGGAAUAUUGCACAAUGGGUGGAAGCCUGAUGCAGCAACGCCGCGUGCGGGAUGACGGCCUUCGGGUUGUAAACCGCUUUCGCCUGUGACGAAGCGUGAGUGACGGUAAUGGGUAAAGAAGCACCGGCUAACUACGUG